CAUGGCUCAGAUUGAACGCUGGCGGCAGGCCUAACACAUGCAAGUCGAGCGGAUGACAGGAGCUUGCUCCUGAAUUCAGCGGCGGACGGGUGAGUAAUGCCUAGGAAUCUGCCUGGUAGUGGGGGACAACGUUUCGAAAGGAACGCUAAUACCGCAUACGUCCUACGGGAGAAAGCAGGGGACCUUCGGGCCUUGCGCUAUCAGAUGAGCCUAGGUCGGAUUAGCUAGUUGGUGAGGUAAUGGCUCACCAAGGCGACGAUCCGUAACUGGUCUGAGAGGAUGAUCAGUCACACUGGAACUGAGACACGGUCCAGACUCCUACGGGAGGCAGCAGUGGGGAAUAUUGGACAAUGGGCGAAAGCCUGAUCCAGCCAUGCCGCGUGUGUGAAGAAGGUCUUCGGAUUGUAAAGCACUUUAAGUUGGGAGGAAGGGCAUUAACCUAAUACGUUAGUGUUUUGACGUUACCGACAGAAUAAGCACCGGCUAACU
RNAcentral lists this ribosomal RNA (489 nucleotides) under Pseudomonas sp. CL2.119. Its description in RNAcentral is "bacterial SSU rRNA". It matches the Rfam family "Bacterial small subunit ribosomal RNA", at positions 18 to 502 of the family's 1533-position model. The record is from RNAcentral. Lineage: Bacteria; Pseudomonadati; Pseudomonadota; Gammaproteobacteria; Pseudomonadales; Pseudomonadaceae.